This 601-nucleotide long non-coding RNA is filed under the name Homo sapiens (human). Its description in RNAcentral is "HSALNT0233492". The record is from RNAcentral. Lineage: Eukaryota; Metazoa; Chordata; Mammalia; Primates; Hominidae.
AGGAUAGGUGUUUUUCCUUCUGUUGAAAACUGAACAUGUGACUCUGAAAUCUUACCAGGUUGACAAUGGUAUUAAAUCUUCAGGUUGCUCAGGUGCCAUGAAUUCAGGGGAUGGAUAAUAAGUAUAACGUAUUUGAGAUGUGUCAGCCACAAAAAGAAAGUUCCUUAACUGUCAUCCUGUGGUUUCCUGACUGUUCACAACCUUGCCAACUACCACAACAGCAUUAAUUUUAUGUCCAGAAUUUUCUUUUUCCUACAAUAAACUGAGUUUUACUGUAGGAAAAAGUUAGGGCAAAGUCACCCAUUGAGCCCAGGAUAACCACUGGAUAAGCUACCAGCACCAGCUUUUGUAAGACUCAGCUUUUUUCUCUUAAAAAAUGAGUUCCAGGAAAAUGUUCUAUUUCACAAAGGCAGUUUUCCUCCAACUCACUAAUGUUUGUUGAUCUGAACAAACUCAUGCUUUGUUAAUAAAUUAAGCAAAAAUGCUUUUAAAAUUCAACCACAAUGAAACAUUUCAUCCCGACCUCAUUAUGUGCCAUUUCCAUGCCUCGCCAGAGUUUCUGAGAACUCCCCUGUGUGCACCUAAGUGACAGCAGAAAAAU